Molecule: ribosomal RNA, 519 nt
Filed under: Epibryon minutissimum
Lineage: Eukaryota; Fungi; Ascomycota; Eurotiomycetes; Chaetothyriales; Epibryaceae
Description: Cladophialophora minutissima eukaryotic LSU rRNA
Rfam family: Eukaryotic large subunit ribosomal RNA
Source: RNAcentral
AAUCUGGCUCUCUCAGGGUCCGAGUUGUAAUUUGUAGAGGAUGUUUCGGGCACGGUUACGGUUUAAAUUUCUUGGAACAGAAUGUCAAAGAGGGUGAGAGUCCCGUCUUGAACCGAUUACUUCGUCCAUGUGAAACUCCUUCGACGAGUCGAGUUGUUUGGGAAUGCAGCUCAAAAUGGGUGGUAAAUUUCAUCUAAAGCUAAAUAUUGGCCAGAGACCGAUAGCGCACAAGUAGAGUGAUCGAAAGAUGAAAAGCACUUUGAAAAGAGAGUUAAACAGUAUGUGAAAUUGUUGAAAGGGAAGCGCUUGUAAUCAGACUUGAGCUUAACAGUUCCCCCUUCGUUCUCGUUGGGUUAUUCUGUUUUGUCCAGGCCAACAUCAGUUCGGGUGGUUGGUUAAAAACUUUGGGAAUGUAUCUACCCCUCGGGGUCGACUUAUAGCCUAGAGUGUCAUGCAGCCUACCUGGACUGAGGAACGCGCUUCGGCUCGGAUGUUGGCGUAAUGGUUAUAAGCGACCCG